Talpa occidentalis (Iberian mole) is the source of this 888-nucleotide long non-coding RNA. RefSeq lists it as uncharacterized. Lineage: Eukaryota; Metazoa; Chordata; Mammalia; Eulipotyphla; Talpidae. The record is from RefSeq and is a predicted model, not a curated record. The transcript is spliced from 3 exons.
AGCACGGCUCUAGCGGAGGACGUAUGUCCAGGCUACAAGGUUUCCGCCCUCAUCUACCUGGACCAGCCCCACGUCAGUUUCAUUUCUGAGUUGACUCUAGUCAGAGGAACUUCCCUUCCAGGCAUCUGAAAAUGGAGCUGCAAAGCGACUGGCAGCGAUUUUGUGACUGACUGUCCUGUGAGGAGGAGUGAAAUUGUCCAGGCCAAGAGAGAAGACUUCAACACCUGUGCAGGCGCAGAGGCUCAGGUGAGGCUUCUGUCCUUCACUCUGGAAAAUCCUGUCUACUUCAUCUCUGCCUCUAACCUGAUAUUGGAGCUUUUCAGGAAGGGCCAUGGCCUCAGCCACAGCUACCCAGAAUAUAAGGGAGGAAGCCACAUGCUCCAUCUGCAUGGAGCUGAUGACAGAGCCCGUGAGCAUCCACUGUGGGCACAGCUUCUGCCGCCGGUGCAUAGAGGACAUCCUUGAGAACCCACAAGAGACGUCAUCCCUGAGGGAGCCCCAAUGUCCCUGUGCCGGGCACCAUUUCAAAGGGAGAGUCUCCGAUCCAACAAGCAACUGGAAAACAUCAUUCAAAUAAUUCAAAUUCUCAAGGAGAGUGCCUCCCCUGGUGGCACAGCGUUUGAGUGCCUCGCUGUGAAGCAGUCCCAGCCUGUGCAGCGCCGGUUCAAUCCCCAACCGCCGGAGAGGGUUCCACAAAAAAAACAAAACAAAAAAAAAAAAAAAAACAACCUCUCAAGGAGAUAGACAGUGAGAGGCUAUGUGAGGUACAUGCGAAGAAGCUCCAUCUGUACUGUGAGGACGACGGGCAGCUCAUCUGCUGGCGCUGUGAACACUCCCCCCAGCACAGAGGACACCGCACGGCUCUAGUGGAGGACGUGUAUCCAGGCU